UACAGAGGUCUCAAGCGUUGUUCGGAUUCAUUGGGCGUAAAGGGCGCGUAGGCGGCGGGGUAAGUCUGGUGUGAAAUCUCGGAGCUUAACUCCGAAACUGCAUUCGAUACUGCCGUGCUUGAGGACUGGAGAGGAGACUGGAAUUUACGGUGUAGCGGUGAAAUGCGUAGAUAUCGUAAGGAAGACCAGUGGCGAAGGCGGGUCUCUGGACAGUUCCUGACGCUGAGGCACGAAGGUCAGGGGAGCAAACGGG
RNAcentral lists this ribosomal RNA (253 nucleotides) under uncultured bacterium. RNAcentral's name for it is "partial 16S ribosomal RNA". It matches the Rfam family "Bacterial small subunit ribosomal RNA", at positions 524 to 776 of the family's 1533-position model. The record is from RNAcentral.